Paralichthys olivaceus (Japanese flounder) is the source of this 1011-nucleotide non-coding RNA. The record is from RefSeq and is a predicted model, not a curated record. NCBI's taxonomy places the organism in Eukaryota, Metazoa, Chordata, Actinopteri, Pleuronectiformes, Paralichthyidae.
UCUGCCCUGGAUAUUACAGGGGUGCAGAACAUUGAUGCAGCCUGGUACCAGAGUCUGACUGGUCCGCUCAGUGAUGACCAGAAGAAACAGCUGCAGGAGAUAUACAGCAUCUCACAGCAGUGUAGGAGCACUGCCGCAAAGGGCCAGUGAGUGCUGAUGAGAUGAACUGCAGAAUCAGUGAAGGGGGCCGAAGAAAGAGAGCAGCUGGUCUGGCCUGACUUGAAUUUAAUUUCAGUUUUUUCUGAAUGAUAUCAGUCCGGAUAAAAUCAUACCUUAGUGAUCCCACCAAAAGCACGUUCCAAAUUGCCAUUCGAAUUGGAUGGAGUACCAUGGGCUGGAUUGGCAUUAUAGCCGGGUCUUAGUGCACUGUAUAGAACCACAUCCACUGCUGGAAUAUUUCAAUGACCAGAACAGACUAUCAUCCUGUGUUUGCGUGCACACAGAUUUCAGUGAAAGAUCUGCAUUAUAAUUAUAAAUGUCUUUGACCAGCACAAUUCAUUUAUGUUCUUGUACAGUGCAGUCCAGUGCAGCUAAUUUAAGAAACAAAAGAAUAAUGUAUCAUUUCCUGUGUUAUUCUUGUUAUUCCAUCAUUCUUUACUGUUUCCUACCUUAAUUAAAUAUCUUUGUUGUUUCCCCAAGAAGCAUUGUGUCUUAAUACAGUCUCACAAAGCCACUAAUAUGGCUGUUAAAAUAAGUUUGAUAAAAAAAACACAGCUGCAAAGAACAGCUGAGCCUGAUGUCAUUGUAAUUAGUGGGUUAGCAUAAGAACAACAACUAUUGACUAUUGAUUAUUUGUAAAGGCAAAGAAUAUUUUUCAUUCAGCAACAAUGUUAAUAUUGCUAGCAGUAGAUUGCUACAUUUCACAGACUCAAGCUUUUCGUUAACUGGGUUGCAACUGCAGCUGAUAUAUUGCAGAGCAAAUGUCUGUUUUUGCUGGUCUGAUAUCGGACCACUUUUGUUAAUGUACAACUCUGUAAAAUUUCGAAAGAUAAUAAACUCGUUUUUUGUCUA